Long non-coding RNA from Erigeron canadensis, 618 nucleotides. RefSeq lists it as uncharacterized. NCBI's taxonomy places the organism in Eukaryota, Viridiplantae, Streptophyta, Magnoliopsida, Asterales, Asteraceae. The transcript has 3 exons. The record is from RefSeq and is a predicted model, not a curated record.
GAUUCCACCACCAUCAACUCUUUUCAUUAUUCUUCCUUUCUUCAUUUCAUUCUUCAAUUUAUUGUUUCAUAAUUAAUCUCCAUCUAAUUCAAAGAAAUCUUCCAAAUAAUAAUCAUCAAGUUGCUAGCAAAAGAAAUUGAAAGGUUAGGGUUUAUGCCUAAAUGGUGGUGGCUGAAUUUUUAAGGAAGAAGGAGGAGAAAUUAGGGCUUGAAGUAUUGAUCUUUGUUCUUGAAACAUUAAGGUUGAUGCAUACGUAUUGUGUACUUGCGGUCUUGUUGAUUUAUGAUUUUAGUCGUUGCGGAGGAGGUUGUCUCGGAUGUGGAAGAAAGUUAAGUAAUCUAAAGAUUGAAGUUAAAGUUGCUUAAUGGAUAUGCUUGCUUUAGCUAAAUGCGGAUAAUGGUAUUGGUAAUAGGAACCUUAAUGACCCCCUCUGAACUAUCGGCUCAUUGUACCCUUGUUAUGUCUUUUUGGGAAAAUUAUUAUGAUGUCUAGUGUUAGACCUGAGUUUUUGGGGUAUUUUCAAUGGGUCGUUUUGUAGUAGUGAUGUAUUGAUCAUAAUUAAAUGUGUUUUGGUAAAACUAAUAAUCCGUAACAGGUUUUGGAUGAUGAUUUUACGAA